This 253-nucleotide ribosomal RNA is filed under the name uncultured bacterium. Its description in RNAcentral is "partial 16S ribosomal RNA". It matches the Rfam family "Bacterial small subunit ribosomal RNA", at positions 524 to 776 of the family's 1533-position model. The record is from RNAcentral.
UACGUAGGGUGCAAGCGUUGUCCGGAAUUAUUGGGCGUAAAGAGCGUGUAGGCGGCCCGAUUAGUCCGCUGUGAAAGUCCAGGGCUCAACCCUGGAAUGCCGGUGGAUACUGUCGGGCUAGAGUCCGGAAGGGGCGAGUGGAAUUCCUGGUGUAGCGGUGAAAUGCGCAGAUAUCAGGAGGAACACCAAUGGCGAAGGCAGCUCGCUGGGACGUGACUGACGCUAAGGCGCGAAAGCGUGGGGAGCGAACAGG